ACUUUUCACCAUGAAGGGUUCUUCUGGAGGUGUUGGUUUAAUGGGAUUGUGGAAGAGAAUGACUCCAAUAUUUGGAAGUUCUGGUACACCAAUCAGCCACCGUCCAAGAACUGCACACACGCUUACCUGUCUCCGUACCCCUUCAUGAGAGGCGAGCACAACUCGACCUCCUAUGACUCUGCAGUUAUUUACCGUGGUUUCUGGGCAGUCCUGAUGCUCCUGGGGGUAGUUGCUGUAGUCAUCGCGAGCUUUUUGAUCAUCUGUGCAGCCCCCUUCGCCAGCCAUUUUCUCUACAAAGCUGGGGGAGGCUCAUAUAUUGCUGCAGAUGGAAUUUCUUCUCUCUGUUACUCAAGCCUCUCAAAGUCCUUAUUGUCCCAGCCUCUGUGUGAAACGUCUUCAGCCAUCAAUGACAUCUCACUCCUUCAAGCCCUUAUGCCACUGCUGGGAUGGACCAGUCACUGGACCUGCAUUACAGUGGGCUUAUAUUGACGUUUACCUCUACACUUGUAUAUAACUGGUUUUCCCAUUUAGUUGCAAGACAAUUGGAAGCACAGACCAAGACUUACAUUUGUUUUUUAAUGUUUUUCUCAUAAAUGCUUAAUGCCUAAAUGUUUCCGUACUACUCUUCUUUCUAAAUCCUUAUUGUUUAAAAGUUUCUCUCCUACUAUACCAUGCCUUAUAAAUGUUGAUUGAAUGAAUGGAUGAAAUGUAUACCUGCUUAUAUUUCUAAUUAAAGGCAAUUUGGGAUUAUAGUAUUUGUUUUUCCAAAAAUGUUUCCAAUUACCCAUUCCCUUGUCAGUUCCCAUG
Molecule: small RNA, 807 nt
Filed under: Pongo abelii (Sumatran orangutan)
Lineage: Eukaryota; Metazoa; Chordata; Mammalia; Primates; Hominidae
Description: processed transcript
Source: RNAcentral